GCCGGGCGCGGUGGCUCACGCCUGUAAUCCCAGCACUUUGGGAGGCUGAGGUGGGUGGAUCACCUGAGGUCAGGAGUUUGAGACCAGCCUGGCCAACACGGUGAAACCCCAUCUCUA
RNAcentral lists this non-coding RNA (117 nucleotides) under Chlorocebus sabaeus (green monkey). The record is from Rfam by way of RNAcentral. Lineage: Eukaryota; Metazoa; Chordata; Mammalia; Primates; Cercopithecidae.